RNAcentral lists this ribosomal RNA (404 nucleotides) under uncultured bacterium. RNAcentral describes it as "partial 16S ribosomal RNA". It matches the Rfam family "Bacterial small subunit ribosomal RNA", at positions 28 to 526 of the family's 1533-position model. The record is from RNAcentral.
GACGAACGCUGGCGGCGUGCUUAACACAUGCAAGUCGAGCGGAGCGGCGAACGGGUGAGUAACACGUGAGUAACUGCCCCCCUCUCUGGGAUAACAGUUGGAAACGGCUGCUAAUACCAGAUAGUGGGGGAUGACUCGCGUCCUAUCAGCUUGUUGGUGUGGUAGUGGCCGCGCAAGGCGCCGACGGGUAGCCGGCCUGCGAGGGCGAACGGCCACAUUGGGCUGAGAGACGGGCCAAACGCCUACGGGAGGCAGCAGGGGGGAAUAUUGCACAAUGGGGGAAACCCUGAUGCAGCAACGCGCGGGCGGGAUGACGGCCUUCUGGUUGUAAACCGCUUUCAGCCAUGACGCGGUAGUGGCAGAAGAAGCACCGGCUAACUACGUGCCAGCAGCCGCGGUAAUUC